Mangifera indica (mango) is the source of this 848-nucleotide long non-coding RNA. RefSeq lists it as uncharacterized. The transcript is spliced from 2 exons. Lineage: Eukaryota; Viridiplantae; Streptophyta; Magnoliopsida; Sapindales; Anacardiaceae. The record is from RefSeq and is a predicted model, not a curated record.
GUCUCAAUUAUAAUUUUUUUAAAUAAAAACUAAAUUCAAUGACAUUUCUUCGACAAAAACAGACUCAACAAUAAUUCAGUUAUUUAUAGUUUUCUAAUUGGCUUCUAGAAAGAUCAUCAUCUCAUCACGGCAACUCUUCCAUUCGUUGUCACUAUUCUAUCACCCUUGCUCAAUUCAUUUCGUUAACUAUACGGAAAAACAAAUUCCACCCGACAACUUUUAUAAAUUCACCAUCUAACUUAAAGACUUCCAGAUCCUUCCCCUGUUUGCUUCCUGAGGAAAAAAAAAGGGAAAAAAGCUCCCCUUCACCCUUUCCUCAGCUACGGACUAUUCAGGAUUAUGGGAAGCGUCGUAGCGUCAAAUAAGGAGAUGUCCAAGGAGCUGGCUCGUGAGUUAUUGAUCUCGAUUUCUUCUACUUUACCUGAUAUGGUUAUGGAUUUGGAUAUAUUUCGUCCAGUUCUAGAAAGGCCUACUGGGGCUGGUGUUGCGGGAAAAGAUGAUCGAGCUGAAAAGUACAGGUCGGACUUGAUCUCAAUUUCGUUUGCUCAAUCACCUGAUGCUAAAUGACAAAUUGACAAUAGCUGAAUCGCGAAAGACUGAGACUUUGUUGUUUGUGAGGAGCUAUGUUUAAAAUGAACUUUUGUAUAUAAAGUGGGAUGUAUAAAGCUUCCUACCGUAUGAUGACUGUGUGAAAAUUUUUUGUGUUGAUAUUGGGUUGUUGUUGUGUCUUCGUGAUUCUGUUUUAGUAAAAAAUCCAGAAAGAUGUAGUCCAGUUUCAUAUGUGUACGUAUUCCAGUGUGAUUUUAGUUGAAGAAAUUGUGAAUAAAUUUGAUCUCUGUUUCUAUUUU